This 460-nucleotide ribosomal RNA is filed under the name uncultured bacterium. RNAcentral describes it as "partial 16S ribosomal RNA". It matches the Rfam family "Bacterial small subunit ribosomal RNA", at positions 338 to 795 of the family's 1533-position model. The record is from RNAcentral.
CCUACGGGUGGCAGCAGUGAGGAAUAUUGGUCAAUGGACGAGAGUCUGAACCAGCCAAGUAGCGUGAAGGAUGACUGCCCUAUGGGUUGUAAACUUCUUUUAUAUGGGAAUAAAAUGUUCCACGUGUGGGAUUUUGUAUGUACCAUAUGAAUAAGGAUCGGCUAACUCCGUGCCAGCAGCCGCGGUAAUACGGAGGAUCCGAGCGUUAUCCGGAUUUAUUGGGUUUAAAGGGAGCGUAGGUGGGUUGUUAAGUCAGUUGUGAAAGUUUGGGGGGCAAACGUAAAAUUGCAAUUGAAACUGGCAGUCUUGAGUACAGUAGAGGUGGGCGGAAUUCGUGGUGUAGCGGUGAAAUGCUUAGAUAUCACGAAGAACUCCGAUUGCGAAGGCAGUUCACUAGACUGCAACUGACACUGAGGCUCGAAAGUGUGGGUAUCAAACAGGAUUAGAUACCCGUGUAGUC